RNAcentral lists this ribosomal RNA (468 nucleotides) under uncultured bacterium. Its description in RNAcentral is "partial 16S ribosomal RNA". It matches the Rfam family "Bacterial small subunit ribosomal RNA", at positions 28 to 507 of the family's 1533-position model. The record is from RNAcentral.
GACGAACGCUGGCGGCGUGCUUAACACAUGCAAGUCGAACGGAAAGGCCCUGCGUUUGUGGGGUGCUCGAGUGGCGAACGGGUGAGUAACACGUGAGUAACCUGCCCUUGACUUUGGGAUAACUUCAGGAAACUGGGGCUAAUACCGGAUAGGAGCUCCUGCUGCAUGGUGGGGGUUGGAAAGUUUCGGCGGUUGGGGAUGGACUCGCGGCUUAUCAGCUUGUUGGUGGGGUAGUGGCUUACCAAGGCUUUGACGGGUAGCCGGCCCGAGAGGGUGACCGGCCACACUGGGACUGAGAUACGGCCCAGACUCCUACGGGAGGCAGCAGUGGGGAAUAUUGCACAAUGGGCGGAAGCCUGAUGCAGCAACGCCGCGUGCGGGAUGACGGCCUUCGGGUUGUAAACCGCUUUCGCCUGUGACGAAGCGUGAGUGACGGUAAUGGGUAAAGAAGCACCGGCUAACUACGUG